This 165-nucleotide ribosomal RNA is filed under the name uncultured bacterium. RNAcentral's name for it is "partial 16S rRNA". It matches the Rfam family "Bacterial small subunit ribosomal RNA", at positions 355 to 511 of the family's 1533-position model. The record is from RNAcentral.
UAGGGAAUCUUCCACAAUGGGCGCAAGCCCUGAUGGAGCAACACCGCGUGAGUGAAGAAGGGUUUCGGCUCGUAAAGCUCUGUUGUUAAAGAAGAACACGUAUGAGAGUAACUGUUCAUACGUUGACGGUAUUUAACCAGAAAGUCACGGCUAACUACGUGCCGG